CUUGCAUCUGGGGAUUAGUGGCGAACGGGUGAGUAACACGUGAGCAACCUGCCCCUGACUCUGGGAUAAGCGCUGGAAACGGCGUCUAAUACUGGAUAUGUCCCGUCACCGCAUGGUGUGCGGGUGGAAAGAUUUUUCGGUUGGGGAUGGGCUCGCGGCCUAUCAGCUUGUUGGUGAGGUAAUGGCUCACCAAGGCGUCGACGGGUAGCCGGCCUGAGAGGGUGACCGGCCACACUGGGACUGAGACACGGCCCAGACUCCUACGGGAGGCAGCAGUGGGGAAUAUUGCACAAUGGGCGGAAGCCUGAUGCAGCAACGCCGCGUGAGGGAUGACGGCCUUCGGGUUGUAAACCUCUUUUAGCAGGGAAGAAGCGAGAGUGACGGUACCUGCAGAAAAAGCACCGGCUAACUACGUGCCAGCAGCCGCGGUAAUACGUAGGGUGCAAGCGUUAUCCGGAAUUAUUGGGCGUAAAGAGCUCGUAGGCGGUCUGUCGCGUCUGCUGUGAAAUUCCGAGGCUCAACCUCGGGCUUGCAGUGGGUACGGGCAGACUAGAGUGCGGUAGGGGAGAUUGGAAUUCCUGGUGUAGCGGUGGAAUGCGCAGAUAUCAGGAGGAACACCGAUGGCGAAGGCAGAUCUCUGGGCCGUAACUGACGCUGAGGAGCGAAAGGGUGGGGAGCAAACAGGCUUAGAUACCCUGGUAGUCCACCCCGUAAACGUUGGGAACUAGUUGUGGGGUCCUUUCCACGGAUUCCGUGACGCAGCUAAC
This 767-nucleotide ribosomal RNA is filed under the name Microbacterium esteraromaticum. RNAcentral describes it as "bacterial SSU rRNA". It matches the Rfam family "Bacterial small subunit ribosomal RNA", at positions 78 to 856 of the family's 1533-position model. Lineage: Bacteria; Bacillati; Actinomycetota; Actinomycetes; Micrococcales; Microbacteriaceae. The record is from RNAcentral.